CAAAAGUACAACCCUGAACGGUGGAUCACUCGGCUCGUGGGUCGAUGAAGAACGCAGCAAAUUGCGCGUCGACAUGUGAACUGCAGGACACAUGAACAUCGACAUUUCGAACGCACAUUGCGGUCCAUGGAUUCCGUUCCCGGACCACGCCUGGCUGAGGGUCGGUAGCUAAAU
Molecule: ribosomal RNA, 174 nt
Filed under: Poecilimon luschani
Lineage: Eukaryota; Metazoa; Arthropoda; Insecta; Orthoptera; Tettigoniidae
Description: 5.8S ribosomal RNA
Rfam family: 5.8S ribosomal RNA (bases 10-164)
About the family: 5.8S ribosomal RNA (5.8S rRNA) is a component of the large subunit of the eukaryotic ribosome. It is transcribed by RNA polymerase I as part of the 45S precursor that also contains 18S and 28S rRNA.
Source: RNAcentral